This is an RNA transcript of Aegilops tauschii subsp. strangulata, 1426 nucleotides long. RefSeq lists it as uncharacterized. The record is from RefSeq and is a predicted model, not a curated record. NCBI's taxonomy places the organism in Eukaryota, Viridiplantae, Streptophyta, Magnoliopsida, Poales, Poaceae.
GAUCCACUCCCACCCCACCACUCUCUCUCUCUCUCAUCCCUAAAAAAACUCUCUCACGAAUUCACUUGUUCCUCGGUCCACCCCACCCCGGCUCCUCUCCCCACGAUCUCCUCGCCGCCGCCACCACCCACGUCGGCCGGUUCCGGCGAGCACCGGCCGCGCACAACACUCCCCCAAGCUCCGCCCAUCCCUCCUCUCCGUCCAGAUCCGACAUAGCCGUAGUUCCUACAGGGCCACCCUCUUCUCCACCGUGCUCUCGCACCACUUCAUCCUGCUCCCCUCCUUCGCCAGGCCCGCCGCCGCCUCCUCCUUCACCUGCAGCCUGCUGCACGCUGUGUCGGCGCUGCUGGUGCCGCGGAGGCGACUCCUGCUGCCCGUGGCCGUGGCCGUGUCGUCCGAGUUCGUGACGGAGGACGCCGAGGGAGAGCAGAGCGAGGGCGAGGGCGGAGGCGACUCCGAGGCCGAGUACUCUGAGGACCUCAAGGUCUUUGUCGGCAACCUGCCCUUCACUGUCGACAGCGCGCAGCUCGCCGGGCUCUUCGAGCAGGACGGCUCCGUCGAGAUGGUCGAGAAUGAAGAUUUUUGAAAUGAAGAGAGAUGGAGUCUAUGGCAUUGGCUUCAUUGACCCAAAUACCAUUUAUGAAAAUGUAUUAAAAGAAAAUGAAGAAGACACAGAGGACAACUUGCUAAGGUUUUUGAAGGAACUAAAAGCCAAACCAGAAAUAUUAUUUCCUUACAACUUCAAUUUUCACUGGAUCCUGCUAAUCAUUAGAAUUGACGAGGGAAAAGUUGAAGUACUGGACUCACUAGGUAAAGACCCUAAAGAAUACUACAACCUGUAUUUGAUGCUCGAUAGGGUUUGAAAAAAGUUCACCCAAGAGAUAGUCGGUGUAUGGGCACCAAAGCUGAAAUGGGUGCAAUCCAAGGCAAUUAACUAGUACUAGCUACGUCCACGCGUCUAUUUAAUUCUAGUUUCAAUACCAUUUUUUCUGAUUGAAUUCUAUUCUCGUAAAGUGCAUGAGGCAGGAAAAGGGGAAUAAUUUGUGUGCAUACUACGUUUGCGAGAACAUUCGCAAUAUGAAGUCCGAAAGGACCACCUCUGCAGGAUAAUUUUGGACGAUGAAGAUGUGGGAUAAGCUCAUACCAAAGGACCGCAUACAAGCACUUCAAGAGGAAAUGGCGGGAUUUUUGCUUGACGAGGUCAUAGCACCCGACGAAGAAUACCAUUUCACCUAAUGCCUGCAUGUAAUGAUCUGCAAAUUGUAGAAGAAAUUGUAUAUAUAUGUGUAUGCGUGGUCGUACGAGAAAUUCUAUGAUAUAUGAUUGGUUCUACGAGAAAUUCUAUUAUAUAUGCAUAACGUGUAGUAGCGUAAAUUACGUUUUAAAUGAACAAUAAUUAAAUGUAAAACACAAAAUGAAAAGAAAA